This 68-nucleotide transfer RNA is filed under the name Marmota monax (woodchuck). RNAcentral describes it as "tRNA.Ser". Lineage: Eukaryota; Metazoa; Chordata; Mammalia; Rodentia; Sciuridae. The record is from RNAcentral.
GGAUUGUGGCUCAGUGGUAGAGUGCUUGCCUGCUAUAUGUGAGGUAUUGGGUUUGAUUCUCAGCACCA